Molecule: ribosomal RNA, 1396 nt
Filed under: uncultured bacterium
Lineage: Bacteria
Description: bacterial SSU rRNA
Rfam family: Bacterial small subunit ribosomal RNA
Source: RNAcentral
CCCUUAGAGUUUGAUCCUGGCUCAGGAUGAACGCUGGCGGCGUGCUUAACACAUGCAAGUCGAACGGGGUACCCUUGACAGAGGCUUCGGCCAAUUGAUAGGAAUACCUAGUGGCGGACGGGUGAGUAACGCGUGAGGAACCUGCCUUGGAGUGGGGAAUAACAGUUAGAAAUAGCUGCUAAUACCGCAUAAUGCAACUAAGUCGCAUGGCUUUGGUUGCCAAAGAUUUAUCGCUCUAAGAUGGCCUCGCGUCUGAUUAGAUAGUUGGCGGGGUAACGGCCCACCAAGUCGACGAUCAGUAGCCGGACUGAGAGGUUGGCCGGCCACAUUGGGACUGAGACACGGCCCAGACUCCUACGGGAGGCAGCAGUGGGGAAUAUUGGGCAAUGGGCGCAAGCCUGACCCAGCAACGCCGCGUGAAGGAAGAAGGCCCUCGGGUUGUAAACUUCUUUUAUUCGGGACGAAACAAAUGACGGUACCGAAUGAAUAAGCCACGGCUAACUACGUGCCAGCAGCCGCGGUAAUACGUAGGUGGCAAGCGUUAUCCGGAUUUACUGGGUGUAAAGGGCGUGUGGGCGGGAGAGCAAGUCAGACGUGAAAUUCCAGGGCUCAACCCUGGAACUGCGUUUGAAACUGUUCUUCUUGAGUGUCGGAGAGGUAAUCGGAAUUCCUUGUGUAGCGGUGAAAUGCGUAGAUAUAAGGAAGAACACCAGUGGCGAAGGCGGAUUACUGGACGAUAACUGACGGUGAGGCGCGAAAGCGUGGGGAGCAAACAGGAUUAGAUACCCUGGUAGUCCACGCUGUAAACGAUCGAUACUAGGUGUGCGGGGACUGACCCCCUGCGUGCCGGAGUUAACACAAUAAGUAUCGCACCUGGGGAGUACGAUCGCAAGGUUGAAACUCAAAGGAAUUGACGGGGGCCCGCACAAGCGGUGGAUUAUGUGGUUUAAUUCGAAGCAACGCGAAGAACCUUACCAGGGCUUGACAUCCUACUAACGAAGUAGAGAUACAUUAGGUGCCCUUCGGGGGAAGUAGAGACAGGUGGUGCAUGGUUGUCGUCAGCUCGUGUCGUGAGAUGUUGGGUUAAGUCCCGCAACGAGCGCAACCCUUAUUGUUAGUUGCUACGCAAGAGCACUCUAGCGAGACUGCCGUUGACAAAACGGAGGAAGGUGGGGACGACGUCAAAUCAUCAUGCCCCUUAUGGCCUGGGCUACACACGUACUACAAUGGCACUUAACAACGAGAAGCAAAGCCGCGAGGCGGAGCGAAACUCCAAAAAGUGUCUCAGUUCAGAUUGCAGGCUGAAACUCGCCUGUAUGAAGUCGGAAUUGCUAGUAAUCGCGGAUCAGCAUGCCGCGGUGAAUACGUUCCCGGGCCUUGCACACACCGCCCGUCA